UAGACAUUUCUUCAUCUUUCUGAGCCAGAAACGCCGUAGCAAGUCUCCUAUGCUGGUUUUUCAUAUUUUUGCACCAUAUCAAGAAUCCAAAGAAGAACGAAGAAAAGAAAAAGUUGCGGAAUAGUCCCUAAAUUUCAAUAUUUUCUACAAAUCAGCCAAAGUUUCGAGGUUAGCUUGGGUUGGAGGCCGCCAGAGAUAUGAUCACACUGUCAAGCUAACGCUAUUGGUGUAGUGAUUUCAAGUACUUUGAGCCUAUGGCAUGUAUAGGAGUUUAAAUAUUAGAGUAUGUGAUAUGGCUUUAACCAUAUGUGUUGGCCUAUUUGGAUUAUGGGGUUGUAAAUCUAUUUUAAUUAUGCAUGCAUGUGCUAUGGUAUCAUGUGAUGAGUUUAUAAUGAUUAUAGUAUGAAUGUGGUAAAGAUGUGAGUAAAAUCUAUGAUAUCUAUUGCAUGUGAAAUUGCCAUAAUCAUGACAUGUUAGGAAUGUUUAAGUACCUAAUUUUGCCAUGUUGUAUGUUAUUGUAUAAGUAUGCGUGUAUCUAU
Gossypium arboreum is the source of this 539-nucleotide long non-coding RNA. RefSeq lists it as uncharacterized. The transcript is spliced from 3 exons. Lineage: Eukaryota; Viridiplantae; Streptophyta; Magnoliopsida; Malvales; Malvaceae. The record is from RefSeq and is a predicted model, not a curated record.